CCUACGGGUGGCAGCAGUGGGGAAUAUUGGGCAAUGGAUGAAAGCCUGACCCAGCAACGCCGCGUGAAUGAAGAAGGCUUUCGGGUUGUAAACUUCUUUUGACAGGGAAGAGCAGAAGACGGUACCUGUCGAAUAAACCCCGGCUAACUACGUUCCAGCAGCCGCGGUAAUACGUAGGUGGCAAGCGUUGUCCGGGUUUACUGGGUGUAAAGGGCGUGUAGCCGGGCUGACAAGUCAGAUGUGAAAUCCGGGGGCUCAACCCCCGAACUGCAUUUGAAAAUGUUGGUCUUGAGUACAGGAGAGGCAGGCGGAAGUCCUAGUGUAGCGGUGAAAUGCGUAGAUAUUAGGAGGAACACCAGUGGCGAAGGCGGCCUGCUGGACGACAACUGACGGUGAGGCGCGAAAGCGUGGGGAGCAAACAGGAUUAGAUACCCUUGUAGUC
RNAcentral lists this ribosomal RNA (442 nucleotides) under uncultured bacterium. RNAcentral describes it as "partial 16S ribosomal RNA". It matches the Rfam family "Bacterial small subunit ribosomal RNA", at positions 338 to 795 of the family's 1533-position model. The record is from RNAcentral.